Long non-coding RNA from Rhipicephalus microplus (southern cattle tick), 288 nucleotides. The record is from RefSeq and is a predicted model, not a curated record. Lineage: Eukaryota; Metazoa; Arthropoda; Arachnida; Ixodida; Ixodidae.
GUGCAAAGGCAUCUUCAUCACUGAAGCAGACGAGGUCCCGUGUCUUCUCUCUGGGAUCAAAUGUCCGUUGAGAACUGAGUAAUUCAGAACUGGCUUUCGUCGCCAUCGAGCCCUGUUCCUGGUCCAAGUGGGCAUCACCCGCGAUUCAGCCCAACCCCGGGACCAAGUGGGCCUGGACAAGCUGCCGGUGGUAUGGGGCAACCAGCGACACCAUUGCAUUCGGAAGGACUGGCUACCAGACUAAGGCAACCAGGAAGUCCCCAACACGCCAGUCCUCCUUCAAGUCCG